RNAcentral lists this ribosomal RNA (386 nucleotides) under uncultured bacterium. Its description in RNAcentral is "bacterial SSU rRNA". It matches the Rfam family "Bacterial small subunit ribosomal RNA", at positions 28 to 426 of the family's 1533-position model. The record is from RNAcentral.
GAUUAACGCUGGCGGCGUGCCUAACACAUGCAAGUCGAACGAGGUAGCAAUACCUAGUGGCAGACGGGUGAGUAACGCGUGGUCAACCUACCGUUGAGUGGGGGAUAACUAGCCGAAAGGUUAGCUAAUACCGCAUACGUCUCCGAGUGGCAUCACUUGGCGAUAAAAGGAGCAAUCCGCUCGAUGACGGGACCGCGUCCCAUUAGCUAGAUGGUGGGGUAACGGCCUACCAUGGCACCGAUGGGUAGCUGGUUUGAGAGAGCGACCAGCCACACUGGGACUGAGAAACGGCCCAGACUCCUACGGGAGGCAGCAGUGAGGAAUUUCCGCAAUGGGCGCAAGCCUGACGGAGCGACGCCGCGUGUGGGAAGAAGGCCUUCGGUCGU